CGUAGGGUGCGAGCGUUAAUCGGAAUCACUGGGCGUAGAGUGUGCGCAGGUGGCCGCGCAUGUCGAGUGUGAAAUCCCCGGGCUUAACUUGGGAAUUGCGCUCGAAACUACGUGGCUGGAGUGUGGCAGAGGAAGGUGGAAUUCCAGGUGUAGCGGUGAAAUGCGUAGAGAUCUGGAGGAACACCGAUGGCGAAGGCAGCCUUCUGGGCCAACACUGACACUCAUGCACGAAAGCGUGGGGAGCAAACAGGAUUAGAUACCCUGGUAGUCCACGCCCUAAACGAUGAUGACUAGUUGUUGGAGGAGUUAAAUCCUUUAGUGACGCAGCUAACGCGUGAAGUCAUCCGCCUGGGGAGUACGGUCGCAAGAUUA
This 372-nucleotide ribosomal RNA is filed under the name uncultured organism. RNAcentral's name for it is "bacterial SSU rRNA". It matches the Rfam family "Bacterial small subunit ribosomal RNA", at positions 526 to 896 of the family's 1533-position model. The record is from RNAcentral.